Molecule: ribosomal RNA, 454 nt
Filed under: uncultured bacterium
Lineage: Bacteria
Description: partial 16S ribosomal RNA
Rfam family: Bacterial small subunit ribosomal RNA
Source: RNAcentral
ACGGAAGGCAGCAGUGAGGAAUAUUGGUCAAUGGGCGGAAGCCUGAACCAGCCAUCUCGCGUGCAGGACUACGGCCCUACGGGUCUUAAACUGCUUUUAUGGGGGGAUAAAGUCGGGCAUGCGUGUCCGUUUGCAGGUACCCCAUGAAUAAGGAUCGGCUAACUCCGUGCCAGCAGCCGCGGUAAUACGGAGGAUCCGAGCGUUAUCCGGAUUUAUUGGGUUUAAAGGGUGCGCAGGCGGCCCGUUAAGUCAGCGGUGAAAUGUCGGGGCUCAACCCGGGCACUGCCGUUGAAACUGGGGGGCUUGAGUACGGAUGAGGUCGGCGGAAUGUGACGUGUAGCGGUGAAAUGCAUAGAUAUGUCACAGAACACCGAUUGCGAAGGCAGCGGGCCAAUCCGCAACUGACGCUCAUGCACGAAAGCGUGGGGAUCGAACAGGAUUAGAUACCCUGGUA